UGAUAAUACGUUUUGCCUUUCGAAAUUGCGUGCGAAAGAAAAAUGGUAAACAUCUUGACUUUUAUUCGAUUUCAUCCUCAAACUGACUUGCCGUGUCUGCGGACCAAUGCUCACUAAACAGGAAUAAAACGGAUUGAACUAUUUCAUCUUGAAGUGUGUUAAUAGGAAUAUAUCCAGCAACCUGUCUGAAGUUUUGCCAGAACAACUACAACAUUGGACCACAUGCAUUGGAACCUUAUUAUUUAAGGACUACCAAUGGGGAAGGACUGUAUUUAAUUGUUGCUGUUAACUAUCUUGGUACCAGUUAUGCCAACAUUUACCUACCUGCAAUCAUAGCUGUUGCAGUGGUUUCCAGUGUUCGCUGGCAGAAAUACAAAGUGGUACCACCAGUCGUCUAUGCCACCUUUCCCCUCAUUUUAGAGGCUAAUGUGGACAGUCCCUGCAGUUUACAGCUAAGCCCUCAGUAUAGCCCUACAAAUUUUAGAUACUGCCGAUGGCGCGUAGAUCCAGUACAUUGGGCCUGAGUUUCCAGUACGCCGAACUAGAGCCAGGAUUAAUAUCAGACGGACCUCUCUGUGGGUGGAUGGAUUCAGAGAUGACCCCAAAGAUGCGGCCAUGACUGUGUCACAUGGACGUUAUUGAUGAAACCAUCAUGAUUUAGUUUUUUGGUGAUAAAUCAACAGACAAAGUGUGUAUAAUUUGUGGAUAAAUAGUGUUAAAGCUAGAAACUUUUCUACGAAUUCCUACUCAAGUGGUGAACUGGAAUAAUAUUGUUUAUAACAAAGAAGAGAAUCUUGUUGUGGGCCGUCUUCAUACACAAUUCUGCAGUCAUCUGCACUAGACCUGUUGGGGCAGUUUGAUUCGAUUUAUCAGUGGCUCUACUUAAAGCAAGCUUUUGUUUUCACAAGCUUGAUGUAAUAUAUUCUUCUUAUUUUCAAACUGAAAACAACCAUUUGACAAGUUCCAUGACAUAUUUAAGGCAUAUUUUCCGAAAAUGUAAAAAAGUUACAACUGUUCAAAUACAUGAUUGUUUUUGAGUGAAAAUUUAAGAAAUAAGAAAUUCUACCUCUUUUAAACCCAAUAUACUGGCUUGGAGAACGAAAUCCAUCUCUGACAUUGCCAGAGGUUCUGUUCAAACUCGUAAAUACUUUUAAUAAUUCGGAUAGUGGAUUCAAUUGACUGUAACAUGACUGUAUAUUUCUUAUGUACAAAAUUAAUGUUUAUUUUUUUCUGAAUAGUUAUGUUUAAACUUUUUAUGCAGCCAAUGGUGUUUUGGGCUUUUGUUAAAGAUGCACUCCAACUCCCAAAUGAGAUUUACCACAAUUCAUAAUAUUAUUUAAAUAUUCCAAAAAGGAUGAAUAAAUGUCAAAAACAAUGGUUCUUAUGAAGGAUACCCAGUUUAAUUUUAAAGAAAUGAGCAUAAAACACGGUAUUUCUACCUUAUGUGACUAUAGUAGACCACAGUAAAUCUUUUAGCAUUCACCAAACAUUUAAUAUGUUUUGCGCUUUUGCUAUUAAAUACAUGGUUACAAUCUUGUGAUCAGUAAUUAAUAAUUUUCAUAAAUGCAUUAUUUAGUUUAAGUAGUUACAGGCUUAUCAGUCAAAACUGAUGUUUGUUGUACAUGUGUAUGUAUUGAUUUGGAAUAAGAGUGUCACUUUAAUCAUAAGCAUCUAGAUUUUCUAUAUAUUUGUAAACAUGUACACUAUUUAUUUAUCUCUGCAUCUUUUAUUUUGAACCAUAAGGGAUCAAAUGCUGUUUAAAUCACUUAUUAUAUAUAUCUUUUUAAGUGACAUAUAUGUAUUAAAAUGUCCUUAUUAUUAUUGCCAUCAUGUGAUUGUAGAAUAAAAGUUGAGACCAGUUUGUGGUAGCCUGUGAGUCAUUCAAGACAUGUUGUUGUGAUAUAUAUUUCAUCAUAGUUUUGACAAAUGGGAACAAAUGCUUUAAAAAUAUGUUUUACUAUACAUGUACUUUGAUAAUGUAAGGCUCCAUAAAUGGAGUCUGUUUUGUUUUAUAUUGUGUAUUUUACUUUUAAUUCUCUUUUAUAAUCAAUGCGAAGACUUGUGCAAUAAAUUUCUUUCUAG
Molecule: long non-coding RNA, 2082 nt
Organism: Mya arenaria
Lineage: Eukaryota; Metazoa; Mollusca; Bivalvia; Myida; Myidae
Exons: 6
Source: RefSeq, a predicted model, not a curated record